Molecule: ribosomal RNA, 253 nt
Filed under: uncultured bacterium
Lineage: Bacteria
Description: partial 16S ribosomal RNA
Rfam family: Bacterial small subunit ribosomal RNA
Source: RNAcentral
UACGAAGGGGGCUAGCGUUGCUCGGAAUUACUGGGCGUAAAGCGCACGUAGGCGGUCUUUUAAGUCGGGGGUGAAAUCCUGGAGCUCAACUCCAGAACUGCCUUCGAUACUGAGAGUCUCGAGUCCGGGAGAGGUGAGUGGAACUGCGAGUGUAGAGGUGAAAUUCGUAGAUAUUCGCAAGAACACCAGUGGCGAAGGCGGCUCACUGGCCCGGUACUGACGCUGAGGUGCGAAAGCGUGGGGAGCAAACAGG